Molecule: ribosomal RNA, 253 nt
Filed under: uncultured bacterium
Lineage: Bacteria
Description: partial 16S ribosomal RNA
Rfam family: Bacterial small subunit ribosomal RNA
Source: RNAcentral
UACGUAGGUGGUAAGCGUUGUCCGGAUUUACUGGGUGUAAAGAGCGCGCAGGCGGUCGUUCAAGUCGCGUGUGAAAGCCCCCGGCUCAACUGGGGAGGGUCACGCGAUACUGAUCGACUGGAAGGCAGGAGAGGGUAGUGGAAUUCCCGGUGUAGUGGUGAAAUGCGUAGAUAUCGGGAGGAACACCAGUGGCGAAGGCGACUACCUGGCCUGUUCUUGACGCUGAGGCGCGAAAGCUAGGGGAGCAAACGGG